This is a long non-coding RNA of Frieseomelitta varia, 590 nucleotides long. RefSeq lists it as uncharacterized. The record is from RefSeq and is a predicted model, not a curated record. The transcript has 3 exons. Lineage: Eukaryota; Metazoa; Arthropoda; Insecta; Hymenoptera; Apidae.
GCGAUUAUAGCGCCACAAUACGGUGAAAUAAGGAAUACACUUCCUAUGAUUCUCGAACGUAAUCGAUAUUUCUCAUGAUCGACUUUUAAGCGGGAGAGCAGACCUUUAAUGGCGGAAAGAUCUGUAAAGAACACGUCGCACACAUUUGUAAAGAAGUAAGUGUGAGCCAAAAAAAUCAUCCAGAAAGAAGUCAUCCAGAAGUUCUCAGGAAACGCGCGAUUACAGCGCCACACCACGGCGAAAUAUGGAAUACACUUACGAUUCUGGAACGUCGAAUCGAUAUUUUUCACGAUCGAUUUUUAAGCGGGAGAGCAGACCUUUAAUGGCGGAAGGAAGCACACCUCAUCUGUGAUGAAGAAAUUGUUAUUCAGAAAAAUCAUCCAGAAAAGUGUCAACCAGAAGUUCUGAGGUUAUUCCUUGAUUGCAGAAAUACCAUGGAACGUAUAGAUGCUACGAUCAUUAAUGGACAAUUUGAUGAACUUGUAUGGAAAUCUGGCAACAUUUUAUUCAUUUUGUGUAACAUUUGGUAUACCAUUCAUAAUACUUAAUUUCAUUACAUAAUAAUUACUUCAUAAUACGUAAUUUCGUAA